RNAcentral lists this ribosomal RNA (449 nucleotides) under uncultured bacterium. RNAcentral describes it as "partial 16S ribosomal RNA". It matches the Rfam family "Bacterial small subunit ribosomal RNA", at positions 354 to 795 of the family's 1533-position model. The record is from RNAcentral.
GUGGGGAAUUUUGGACAAUGGGCGCAAGCCUGAUCCAACAAUGCCGCGUGCAGGAAGAAGGCCUUCGGGUUGUAAACUGCUUUUGUACGGAACGAAACGGUCCUGGUUAAUACCUGGGGCUAAUGACGGUACCGUAAGAAUAAGCACCGGCUAACUACGUGCCAGCAGCCGCGGUAAUACGUAGGGUGCGAGCGUUAAUCGGAAUUACUGGGCGUAAAGCGUGCGCAGGCGGUGCUGUAAGACAGGCGUGAAAUCCCCGGGCUCAACCUGGGAAUUGCGCUUGUGACUGCAGUGCUGGAGUACGGCAGAGGGGGAUGGAAUUCCGCGUGUAGCAGUGAAAUGCGUAGAUAUGCGGAGGAACACCGAUGGCGAAGGCAGUCCCCUGGGCCUGUACUGACGCUCAUGCACGAAAGCGUGGGGAGCAAACAGGAUUAGAAACCCGAGUAGUC